Molecule: unclassified non-coding RNA, 210 nt
Filed under: plant metagenome
Description: partial contains small subunit ribosomal RNA, internal transcribed spacer 1, and 5.8S ribosomal RNA
Source: RNAcentral
UCUCCGUUGGUGAACCAGCGGAGGGAUCAUUACUGGAAUCGCAAGAUCCCACAACCCCUGUGAACCUAACGAAACGUUGCCGCGGCGGGCGCCCGGCCCCGGGCCGUGCGCUGAGCCCGCCGGAGGCCCCCUACUCUUGCCUCUGCAGAGUGGCAUCGCAGAGACCCAGAAAACAAGUAAAAACUUUCAACAACGGAUCUCUUGGCUCUA